GCCCCUGAGGAAUUUGGUAAUGUCCAUUAGUUACCUGACAUCCGGAGCCCUGGCAAAUUCACUCUCUUUCACAGAGUUUCAAGCCAGGUUUGAUGGGAGAUCCCCCCGUCCACACACUGUGCAGGACACCGGAAGUAGAGGUCUGCCAGCCUGCUUAUUCCCGUCCUCAGUGCCCAGAACUGAGCAGGUCACCAACCUACAGUGCCUACCCCUACCCUUCUUCCGGCGAGAUGUGAAAACGGAGACCCAGAGAAGGGAAACAGUUGAAUCUUGUCCUGGAGUUACUUUUGUUCCUGGAUUUGGGGAAUUCCUGGGAACACCAGAAAAUGUAGACCAUUCUCUAAGUCCCAAAGCCAUGGAGGAGGUGAAGGAAGACAUUUCAGAGAUGUCAGUGCCAUGA
RNAcentral lists this long non-coding RNA (400 nucleotides) under Bos indicus x Bos taurus (hybrid cattle). Its description in RNAcentral is "lncRNA (ENSBIXG00000011386.1)". Lineage: Eukaryota; Metazoa; Chordata; Mammalia; Artiodactyla; Bovidae. The record is from RNAcentral.